RNAcentral lists this ribosomal RNA (253 nucleotides) under uncultured bacterium. RNAcentral describes it as "partial 16S ribosomal RNA". It matches the Rfam family "Bacterial small subunit ribosomal RNA", at positions 524 to 776 of the family's 1533-position model. The record is from RNAcentral.
UACAGAGGGGGCUAGCGUUAUUCGGAAUUACUGGGCGUAAAGCGUGCGCAGGCGGUUUCGUAAGUCUGUCGUGAAAUCCCCGGGCUUAACCUGGGAAUGGCGAUGGAGACUGCGAGGCUAGAGUUUGGCAGAGGGGGGUAGAAUUCCACGUGUAGCAGUGAAAUGCGUAGAGAUGUGGAGGAACACCGAUGGCGAAGGCAGCCCCCUGGGUCAAAACUGACGCUCAUGCACGAAAGCGUGGGGAGCAAACAGG